This 207-nucleotide ribosomal RNA is filed under the name uncultured bacterium. RNAcentral describes it as "partial 16S ribosomal RNA". It matches the Rfam family "Bacterial small subunit ribosomal RNA", at positions 568 to 774 of the family's 1533-position model. The record is from RNAcentral.
CGCGUAGGCGGACAGUUUAGUCAGAGGUGAAAACCCGAAACUCAACCUCGGAAUUGCCUUUGAUACUGGCUGUCUUGAGUACGGGAGAGGUGUGUGGAACUCCGAGUGUAGAGAUGAAAUUCGUAGAUAUUCGGAAGAACACCAGUGGCGAAGGCGACACACUGGCCCGUUACUGACGCUGAGGCGCGAAAGCGUGGGGAGCAAACA